UGGGGAAUAUUGCACAAUGGGCGCAAGCCUGAUGCAGCAACGCCGCGUGGGGGAUGACGGCCUUCGGGUUGUAAACCUCUUUUAGUAGGGAAGAAGCCUUUGGGUGACGGUACCUGCAGAAAAAGCACCGGCUAACUACGUGCCAGCAGCCGCGGUAAUACGUAGGGUGCGAGCGUUGUCCGGAAUUAUUGGGCGUAAAGAGCUCGUAGGCGGUUUGUCGCGUCUGCUGUGAAAUCCCGAGGCUCAACCUCGGGUCUGCAGUGGGUACGGGCAGACUAGAGUGCGGUAGGGGAGAAUGGAACUCCUGGUGUAGCGGUGGAAUGCGCAGAUAUCAGGAAGAACACCGAUGGCGAAGGCAGUUCUCUGGGCCGUUACUGACGCUGAGGAGCGAAAGCGUGGGGAGCGAACAGGAUUAGAUACCCCGGUAGUCC
This 431-nucleotide ribosomal RNA is filed under the name uncultured bacterium. RNAcentral describes it as "bacterial SSU rRNA". It matches the Rfam family "Bacterial small subunit ribosomal RNA", at positions 355 to 796 of the family's 1533-position model. The record is from RNAcentral.